This 108-nucleotide small RNA is filed under the name Klebsiella quasipneumoniae subsp. similipneumoniae. Its description in RNAcentral is "partial RtT sRNA". It matches the Rfam family "RtT RNA", at positions 21 to 130 of the family's 130-position model. From Rfam's summary of the family: This family represents a bacterial cis-regulatory element known as RtT RNA. The exact function of RtT is unknown although it is thought that it may be involved in changing the cellular response in relation to amino acid starvation. RNAcentral also lists the same sequence under 1 other name. Lineage: Bacteria; Pseudomonadati; Pseudomonadota; Gammaproteobacteria; Enterobacterales; Enterobacteriaceae. The record is from RNAcentral.
GAUUCGAACCUGCGGCAGGUUCGGGUCUCACGUAGUGAGACAACGGAGCCGCUUGCGGCGACGGCCCGAAGGGCGAGGCGAAGCCGAGUCAUCCUGCACGACCCACCA